AUGGGAUGUUCGCACGCAAGAUGCAGAAGUUCGCCAGAAGGAAGAAGAGCUGGGCGUCGAGGAGGAGAAGAAGGUGGUAUGCGAGGUGCUUGCAGGCCCAGCAGCAGGAGGCCGUCCUUGAGGUGCUCCUCUGGAUGGUCCAUUCCGGCGCUGGGCCUACGUGUUCAAUGCUGCCCUCACCAUCCCCUUCUUCCAUUGGCUCAUCGGCCCGUCAGAGUUCAGAGAUCUAAUACUCCGCACUGCCUCCCGUCCAUUUUCAGAUAUAUAUAUUUAUAUAAGGUUUAUCAUCACCCCAUGGAUCAUGUGUUGUUGAUUGACCAGGUUAUUGAGGUGGAGGUCAACGGGGUGAGGCAGAGAAGUGGAGUGCUCAUAAAGAAACGAAGGUAUGUAUGA
Molecule: ribosomal RNA, 393 nt
Filed under: Triticum aestivum (bread wheat)
Lineage: Eukaryota; Viridiplantae; Streptophyta; Magnoliopsida; Poales; Poaceae
Description: partial small subunit ribosomal RNA
Source: RNAcentral